GCGCUUGAUUGAUACAUAUCGUUGCUUAUUGCUCUUCUAGAUCCAUUUUAUGUGAUAGGAUUGGGGAUCUUGGAGCACUACACUGGCCGGCAGGGGGGUUGAAGUGCGGACGACGGGGGAGCACAUGCGGGUCAGCGGCAGCCGGUAGGGGCAAGGGAAGUGCAGUUUGCACAAACCGUUGGAGAGAUUAUGGUUGAAGUGAAGAUGCAAAUGCAGGUUUAUGAAAGCAUCUGAUAGUUUUGCUCGCAGCUCUGAAAAUAUACCUCAUUUAGUCAUUUAUCUCAUUUGUAAGGUUUGCGCAAAUCGUUGGCGAGGUCAUGGAGUUGGAUAUUUUUUGUACCACGAUGAUGGAGCCAAUCAGUCCAUGUGGCCAAUCUAUCCCCAUGGUUGAGCAGAGCCGCUGAUGGACACUUUCACCAGGAGGAUGGUUGGAUGUAGAGAGUGGUGAUGCAGCGCUGCUCUGGACCUCUCCUCCGGCCACGUCGAUUCCACCCGAUGCAGCAUUGACGAAGUUUUUUGUAUCUACAAUCCACGAAGUUUUCUAUAUCUACAGGCCAAGCAUUCUUUAUAGCUUCCCAUCGCUACAACCCACUGCUUCAUCAAAAGGAGGUGUUAGCAGAGAAUAUGUUCACACAAAUGGUUUACUAUGUUCUUUGGAAUGGAAAUGUUUAUGGAAGAGAAACCAUGGGAAUCCAGCCUGGUUAUUUUACAGUAAAGCAAAUGCAUCAGAGAGGGCAAUGGUUGCUGGUCUGGGAGGACUCUAUUUUGUUGGUGUAAAUUUUCUGGGAAACUUAUUGAAAUGGUUGCUGCUACGCAAGACCAACAGUGGCAUCGCAAAGAGGAACAAGGCCAGAGAAGGGAGAGCCCAUGAACUGGUUUCGCCAGAACCUUCUCCCAGAAGAAAGCUAUUUCCCAUGCUUCAGACAUGUUUGGAGAAAAGCCAGGUAUAGUCCUGAGCAGUUUCGCUUUAACCCGAUAGGCUGAAAUUUGUACGAGCAAGAAGUGCAAUUGACAAGUUGAUUGGUUUGCAUCCAUGCCGACUGGAGCGAGGAUGUCGUCGCUGGAAAUUGCUCCUGGUGCAGAAGAUUUCCAUGGUGGCAUUAGGCAGUUCCCAGACACGUGAGGCAUCCCUAUGGGUCGACAUGACAUUUAAGAUCUAUCAUAUAUGCACAAGGAUUUUGAUCUAAGAUUUACAUUAUUUACCAAAAGAUACCUGAAACUAAAGGAAGGUUAGUUGAUUAAAAUACAUUUAGCAUUUCCCUGAAAGAAGAAAAGAUUAGACAAUUGAAAUUAUUUCUCUUAUAGUACCUCACUAAUUUUGCUACCUACUGGAAGAUGUCGUUCAGGAUGUUCUCCUUGCUCGUGCUUUGCUCCAAGUUUGUUUUUUUGGCGAUGCCGAGAUACGAAAAGAGACUAAUGUUUGUGGGAUUCAUGGUUAUUGGUCUUAUCUUCACAGCGCAUUGGGAUGGAUAUCCUCGGCCAGAGCAGGGCGUUGGCACUAGCGAUAUUACUGUCUUUGCACAAUGUUACUAACAUACUAAGCACACCAUGUAUAAAAUUGUUGGUUCUCUAUUCAAAUGCGGGUAGACACCAAGGAAAACAUGUAUCUGCUCUUUCUUGCCAGUUUUAACUUUUAAGCAGCAUCUACUUCAUGUUAUUUCACAUUUUCACUGGGCUCAUUUGGUGUGUCGUCGUUGUUGGUUAUUGAUUUGUCAGGUCUGCCUGGAGCAAAUUCCGUUCCUAUUAAUUUCUGUUUAUUUAUAAAAAUCCACUUGACAUUUUCUCAUGUGGAGUUUAUAUUUUUCCUAUGAAUUUAAUGUGCUCUGAUAUGUGCAGAUCAUAGUAACAAUGACAAGCUGGCCAACCAUGCCAGUGAGGCCAAACCGACACACCUCGCGGAAGGUGAUGUACCAUCGAUGCAUGUGGCGAUGUUGCUGUUGUCAUUGAGCCUGGCUUCUUUCCACUGAUUUGGUGCCAUGGCUGCAUCCUCUCUGUCUUCAUCAUGUCGAGAAGCCAAAUCGACAAAUUUAGAAAGGUCUUAAUGUUAGUAAUCCCUUCAUCUUAUAUCCAAAUUUAGUAAGAUCUUAAUGUUAGUAAUGUCCAGUUAUUAAUCUCAAUAGAUCUUCCUUUAUCAGUGCUCUUUUAUUAAAUAUUGAUUAAUUAAUAGUUGGUACUACAUAAAAGGGAUUACCAUAGGCUGGGCUAUCCUUUUGAAUUUAUAUUAAAAGUAUUCUCUUGAUCUAAGAAUGUUUGGAAUCUUGUUGCCCUGGCCAUUAAAAGCAAUUUAUUUUUCUGUUGAAAAUUGUUUUCUCUUUUUUCUAAUGGAGAAAGUAAAUAGCUGAACAUGUUUGUCGAGUUGGUACCUUUCCAUGUGGUACCUUAACUGGACAUAAAGUACCCUUUGGUAGAUCAGUUUCAGCCUCUCUCCCGUGAUCUCUCCCUCAUUCAUGGACAUCUGUUUUCCCUUAUUUGAUGAAAUCCAUCUUUUUGUAUAGGUUAUUUUUAUCCCCUUCUCUUCACGCCCGUAGCAAUGCCCACUUUAAUUGUGUAGUUGGUGUUCUUUUAUUUCUGUACAGUUUCGUUCAUUUCCUUCUACAUGAUUAAUAACACUUGAUUUGUGAUAUGCCUGAUGGAAAGGUGUAAUAUUCUUCAUAUGUUACAACAUUAUUUUUGUUGCUUCGGUCCAAGGCUUCAAGCUUAUGUGUCUGAUGGUCAGAUCGUCUGAUCUGAAGUGAUUUUACGUAUUCAUCAUUGCAAAGUAGUGAUGGUGGUUGGCGGGAGGUGGCACCGCCACCACACAUCGUGCCGGCGCUGGGAGGAGCUCUAGCGGCCGGCAGUAAGGGCUUGCUGUUGAACCGUCGCUGCACGUCAUGCCGUUGCUGGGAGUAGCCGCCUGUCUUGCACAUCACCGUUAUGUUAUGUUGGACUGCAUGACCUUCUCCGCCUUUUCACUAAGAUCUCCAGCCAGAAGCGCAACUUAGCGGAGGUUCUGGAGUGAUGGAGGUCUGAGAUCUUCGCCUCCGUCGUGCAAGGCAACUAGCGUAUGAAUACGUUGACCCAAGAUGGUGCUCACAUAUGCAGUAUUGCACUCGUCAAUGGCGACAUCCCAGUUCAUGUAAAAGUCAACAACCUCGAGCGCCCAUCAGCCGGUACCCUCUAGCCCUAGGGAAAGCCUUCUUGAGGAGGCAGGAGCGAUGCCUUAUGUCGAGGUUCCUAAUGAAAUGUAUGUAUGCCUUUUCCUUCAUGCCGCCGUUCUCGAAGAAAUUACAUGGCGGCGUUAGCAGACUACUGUAUCUACCUAAAUUCGCCUUACAACUCAAGAAGGUUAGAGAUUGAGCGUCGGAGAACAAUAUAAGAAAUAUGUUACUUUCCCAAUUAGAAAGGGUGUGCUAGAAGAAUACAUGCAUCUACUAGCCAUAUUUUCUCGAGACUUUUGUAUAUGUAACAAUUAUAUGUAUGUAUAGCAGUGUGCUUUGCUCGAGCUGAAGACUACCACUGAUGUGUAUUUCCCUGUGCUCUCCAAUAUGUAACUUUUAUGUAUGUAGGAGCAAUGUGUGUUACUCUUACUAAGACUAUCAUCGGUAUGUGUUCCCCAG
Lolium rigidum is the source of this 3596-nucleotide long non-coding RNA. RefSeq lists it as uncharacterized. The transcript has 12 exons. Lineage: Eukaryota; Viridiplantae; Streptophyta; Magnoliopsida; Poales; Poaceae. The record is from RefSeq and is a predicted model, not a curated record.